Long non-coding RNA from Osmia lignaria (orchard mason bee), 1329 nucleotides. RefSeq lists it as uncharacterized. NCBI's taxonomy places the organism in Eukaryota, Metazoa, Arthropoda, Insecta, Hymenoptera, Megachilidae. The record is from RefSeq and is a predicted model, not a curated record.
CAUGAAUACAUAUUUUCUACCUUCUAUCAGUCAGAGCAUCGAUUUUUCCCAGGAACGAUGCCCAAAAACAGAUUCGCACCAGGUUUACCUGCGGCACUUCGUACCGCGUCACGUUUAGCGCAUCACGCAUCUGCAGAGCUUACGGCUAUGCGUAAUACAAUCGACCAACUAUUAUAUCAUCUUACCCUUUUUUUUCUUUUCAUACUGAUCGAAUAGAACCUACCGAAGAUUAUAGGGCUACGAUAUAACUGGAACAACAAAGAGAUGAAAUACAUAGUAUGGAAUAUAGAAGACACAUUAGUUAAGAUAGCACAGAAAAUUAGUUCGUCCGUAAGGUACUUUAUCUAUCAAAUAUAUGGUUCACCAACGCAUUAUCUUUUGAAAUAUAGUAUAAAGGACGUUACAAGAUGUAAUUAACUUCAGUUUUCAGAUGGUAACUGAUAUUCUUGGCAAAGAAUAUUUCAAUUAUUGCACAGCGUUGUUUAGAGGAUUCGAGCGAUUGAAAAUUUGAACAUUUUCUACUAAGGCAUUUUACCGUAUAGCUGACACGUAGUUACAUUAGUGGACACACGACGAUGUACAUCUUUGUGAUGCAGUCUCUUUUGAUAAAUUCAAGAUGACCUUGGUAUACUUUCAAAAAAUUGGUCUGGAGGAACGGUCGCUUCCGUUAGGAACCUUCAUACGUGAACGUUCUUUUUUGUCGCACGCAUGCUCAUCACUUAUUAUUGAUAUCGCGAACAUCGUGCGACGCCGUUACCGCAUAUCGGUCACGGCCACCAGCGAAACUGUUAAUUAUCUAUUAGAUACGAAUAAAGUUUAUGAAUAUCAAUACUUAUCCGACAUCAUGAUUUCAAAUAAAUUAAUGAAUCGGAUACAUUUAAUCGGGUCACUUAGUUGACUAAAAUUUCUUAUUUACAUUGUACUGCACAUUACAUUACAUUACUUUUAUCAAUGAAUUCAGAAAGUAAUGAAAGAAAUUGUAAAAACGUUUCAGAUUACGGAUAAACGACUCACCAUAAAUUAAUUUAUUUUUACCGUUAUAAAUUAUACAAUGCUUCUUCCAACGCGAGGCAUGCGUCGUGUUGCAUACUGAAGGGGUUAAUACCUAUGUGUAACCGCAGAGCACGCAACAAAUCUGCCUUUUUUCUAUUAAAAUACGUUUUUGGUGAAAUGUGUUGCUAUGAUUAAAAUUGUACUUUUAAUCUUAGAAAUGAAUUUCAUUUUUUUUUUCUUUUUUUUUUUUUAAUCACUUACAGACACGAUUGCGAUGAGACGAAUGAUAAGAUAAAUGAAGAUGUGAUUGAUAUAAUUGUUAAUACAAAGGUAAAA